AGAAUCAACGCUGGCGGCGUGCCUAACACGUGCAAGUCGAACGAGAAAGUGGGAGCAAUCCCAUGAGUAAAGUGGCGCACGGGUGAGUAACACGUGACUAACCUACCCUUGAGUGGGGGAUAACCUAGGGAAACCUGGGCUAAUACCGCAUAAUACCUACGGGUCAAAGGAGCAAUUCGCUUUAGGAGGGGUCGCGGCAGAUUAGUUAGUUGGCGGGGUAAUGGCCCACCAAGACAGUGAUCUGUA
RNAcentral lists this ribosomal RNA (246 nucleotides) under uncultured bacterium. RNAcentral describes it as "partial small subunit ribosomal RNA". It matches the Rfam family "Bacterial small subunit ribosomal RNA", at positions 26 to 285 of the family's 1533-position model. The record is from RNAcentral.